UAAAAUGCCACCUGCGGGCAGGAGGUG
This 27-nucleotide non-coding RNA is filed under the name Homo sapiens (human). Lineage: Eukaryota; Metazoa; Chordata; Mammalia; Primates; Hominidae. The record is from RNAcentral.